Molecule: long non-coding RNA, 686 nt
Organism: Phyllostomus discolor (pale spear-nosed bat)
Lineage: Eukaryota; Metazoa; Chordata; Mammalia; Chiroptera; Phyllostomidae
Exons: 3
Source: RefSeq, a predicted model, not a curated record
CACGGGCUGCAGGUGCUCGAGCACACGGGCUGCAGGUGCUCGGGGCCUGCCGCUCGAUGCCCUGCAGUCAGGCGGUGGGCGGUCUUCGAGAACUUCCAGGCUCAGUAAAAGCUCACUGGCUUUUCUUGUUAAGGACAUAAGCUUUAUUUUCAAAAGCAUCUUUCCAGGAGCACCAAGCUGACCCCCUUUCACCACCAGCAAAACAGAGAAAAGGGAAAACUCUAAGGCAGUGGGCGACCCCAGGGUCCCGGUAACCUCCCAGCUAACCCCCGUGUCUAGGGAGGGGACAGAAAGCCUCGCAGAGAAGGGGAAGCCACUCUGCUCCCCACACUCUUCCUGGCGCCCCCCACGGUCUCCGCUGUGCUCAGACCGAGGACUCACUUCCUUCUUUCAGAAACUCAGGACGGAGGACGUCCAGGGCUGUGGAUGUUCUGGGGGCCGGAUCACCCCCUGGCCUGGGGAACGCCCUGAACUAGCUAUUUUACUCAAACAUCUGGGGACAGGGGCUAUUGACAUUGGGCAGCUAAGGCGAUUGAAGAAAAUCUUCAAAUCAGAAAAGCCCGCCUCCCACUCAGGUCUCGAGUCCGCAGGAAGUCUCCAGAAAAGAAACAUCGGUGAGCAGGACUCCUGCUCAGACCUGGGGCUUGUGACCCAGCCCCUCCCAUCUUCCCGGAAAGGACCGCCAC